Long non-coding RNA from Canis lupus familiaris (dog), 978 nucleotides. RefSeq lists it as uncharacterized. The transcript has 3 exons. NCBI's taxonomy places the organism in Eukaryota, Metazoa, Chordata, Mammalia, Carnivora, Canidae. The record is from RefSeq and is a predicted model, not a curated record.
CAUGACCUGAGCUGAAACCAAGAGUUGGAUGCUUACCUGACUGAGCCACUCAGGUGCCCCAGGUACUGAAUCCAUCUCAAAUAAAUAACGGUUGAAUGUGAAUUUUUUUGGCUUUCUUGGAGUAACUGAAAUAAACUUAUAGAUCGGAUAAUUCACUGAUUUCAAAGAAGCACUGUUCAAUUUAGUAUUUCUCCAAGCAAUUGCAGGUGUUCAAAAGAAUACAGGAGAGUACAUAAAUCAAAAUGAAGACAAGAACAAAAUGCCAUUUCUUACCUUGGUUUAGGGGAAUAAUUUUUAAAAUUCUCAAAUUUCUUGAAAUUCUAAAUAUUGGAAUGAAGUAUAGGGUGUUCUACCUAAAAAGCCGUUUGCCACACUCCAACCCUCAAGUAUUCCUAGAGAACUAAUGUAAUAUGGAGAAAUCUAUAUCCUGAUCCUGAUGGCUCAUGAAGAUACAUUUAAAGAAACUUGAGUUAAUGAAUAUAAAAAAGGUUAAUUUUAUUUCUUUUUUUUUUUUGGUUAAUUUUAUUUCAAAGCAAAUAAGGUGUGAGAUUACAAUAGUAAAAAUGAGCCAAUUCAUGUAAAUAUUUUAUUAAUCACUAGUAAUACCAUAGAUUAUAAUAGAUGCACGGAUAUACAUAUGUACACAUAUACAUAUAUAUAUCUAUGCACAUAUAUAUAUGUACAGUGAAAGUGUCUAUGUGUGUAUGUCUUUGUGUGUGUAUGCAUAUAUAUUCACAUAUAUACUUUUACUAUAUAUACAUAUUUAUUUGGAAAAUUCAUUUAUUAUGGUGUGAGUACAAAUACAUUAUACACAAUGAAUAUUAUGUCCAUAAUACAACAUAGUAUAUAACAUAUAGUAUACAAUGUAAUGUGAUAUAAUGUACUAAAUGAUAUAUGUAAAAAUAAUCUAUUAUAUACUUAAGUAUUAUAUUGUAUGUGUUAUAUAAUUAAGUAUUAGAGGUACCUAUGGUGACUAUA